Molecule: unclassified non-coding RNA, 6583 nt
Filed under: Leishmania donovani
Lineage: Eukaryota; Euglenozoa; Kinetoplastea; Trypanosomatida; Trypanosomatidae
Description: gene:LdHU3.30.2060(CDS-product:protein_kinase_put ative)
Source: RNAcentral
CCUCUCAUUGUGCGGCAUCUCUGCAGCUCUGCAUUGCCUGCUUCGCUGCUCUUCUUUCCCCAGUGGCACCGCAUUUGUAUUGAAGCGUCGCCGAACAAGUGUCACCUGUCCCAGCAGCACCAACUGUAACGUGCAGACCGAGUCGUCUGCAGAGGAAGACCCGCGCUUCACUGCGCGUGACUGGUGCUGAGGCAGCCUGCUACUGCGUCUUCAUUGCGCUCGCAUAGUUUUCUGCCACUCCUUCCCGUCACGGCGUGGUGGGGUCUUGCCAACCCGCUCCCUUUGUUGCGCGCCGCCCCCUCCCCUCCCUUCCCUUCUCUGGGUUGCUUACGGCGGCACCUUAACCCCUCUCCUCACGCCUCUUUGUAUUAUAUGUGGUCUUCGUUUUCGCUGCAUACGUGCGCACAGGUUCUCUCAUCUUCGUUUCGCUGGCGCAUCGUUCUUUACGUGUUGGUAUCACUAUUGGGUGGCUUUGCCGCCGAACCCCUCAAACGCGCAGCCGGACGCGUAAGCCCGAAAGGGCAGUUGUGUAAGCGUCGUCGAAUCCUUUCACCGGGUGUGCGACCACCUCAUUCCACUCACCUCCCGUUCCCGUGGGCGAACAGCUGUUUGCCGCACAGCUCCACGGAGGCCACCCCCUCCAGCCGCCUGUCUCGUCACCCUCUUCUCUAUCUUACAGUUUGCGUGGCGCAAAACUGACGGGCCCACGCACACGCCUCGAUCGUGAAGUAUGGCAAGUACUGAAACCGUUUGGGAUGGCGCUUGCCUGCUCCUCGCUACCGAUGUGGCAGGGGUGCUCCACUGCUACCAGUACACGACGGAGAAGGUGAGCGACGGUAGCACCGACAAUGACGAUGAGCGCGUUGCCGUCUUGACACACCUUUGGUCGCACAGCCUUGGAGACGAAGACGUGCCGUCCGAGUUGGUGGCGGCGGCUGAUGGCGGUACUAGUCCAACGGCGUCCUCGAUUGCUGCAUCCGCGAAAGCUGAACGGGACGCGCGCGCUGGCUUUAAAUGUGCGCUUUCAAAGCGCCUUCGCCUUCUAGAGCCUGCCUCGACCAUGCUCGCUCGGUGGGCAGCGGCGGAAGGGCCGCGUGCAUCGGGUGAGCACCGAGAUAUCUCCUCUGCAUCACCCAAGUCGGGUUUUACUGAGGGGCAUAGUCGCGUCAACGGUGGCGAUGCGGACGGAGCUUGUGACACUGCCGCCCGAGGCACCAGGGAGGGAAAGAUCGACGGGAUUCCUCCAGUUGCGGCAGCCCACCAUUUUGGGCUGCAGGCAAUCGGCGCGUCGUGCCCGUUCUGCAAACGUGUGUCUUUCUCAUCUUCGUCACCGUCUCCGGCGUUCACCUCGCCCUACUCACCCUGCACGCCCCGAUUCGCCAGCACCUCGGCUGCCACCGCCACUCAAAAGCCGACAUGUGCAACAACGUCGGCUACCACCUCAUUGCUCUGUAGCAGCACAGCCGGCCGAGCCGCGAUCGUGCGUAGACGGAGUGAAGUGCGGGAAGAAACUGUCGGGGAUCGCCGUGUUAGCGAUGCUAGCGGCGACAACUUCUUUCGGCCCUGCGACUUUAUGGCUCGAAUUCCGGAGGCGGCCUACAGCGGCUUUAAUGCGAGCGCGAAAGCUCGGCCGGCGGCGGCGGCAGGCUCGAUCACGCCUGUGGACCUUGCAGCACCGACAGUGGGGUGCGCGUCCAGUCAACUUGCCGAGGUCGCGUGGUACUGGCGCUGCCCACGCUGUGUUGUCGAUGCACGCGCGACACCCGACGGUGGCGGCAGUGACGCCAAACGUGCGUCGCACAGAUACUUUGUUAGCGAGGAGGAAGCGGGUCAGCUAAGUCGUGAUGACACGGCGAUGGAAACAGGUGAUUUGGCCGAGGUUGCCGCAACGGCGCACUUAUGGAUGCCCUUGCCGGAGGCAGUGCGGCAUUGGAAUGCCGUCUGCUGUCAUCAUCACCGACUGUUACUCUUGCGCCACAUGGAGGAGGGAUACAUCGAGCUGGACUUGUUCACAGGGGCAUCACUUGAUAGCAUUUAUAUGAAAGCUGACAUGAAGGCGGCGGUAUCAGCGGAGAUGCUGGACUCGACAUCGUCUUUCGACAUCUCUGCUCACAGUAUCUACUCGUCCGUCAGUGAUGGCAGCGGCACCGAGGUGAGCCAUGACAGCUGUGCUAGCAUCUCUGAUGCGAAUGGCGACGGGCUACCGCGUGCGGUGCUGUCGCUGACAACACAGCGCUAUGAGACACUGAUCAUGCAGGCGACAGUGUCCCGCUCCUCAGCGAAGGUCACCAAGGGGAGGAAGACAAGGAAGGAAACGAUGACCGCUCCGAUACAGAAAGCAGCUCACACGUGCCUAGCAAAGCUGGCAGCACCAGCGAUUCAGCUCGGCCUGACAUGGCACGCGCCCAGACAGCGCGUACGCAAAGACCUUUCGUUCUCCGAUGCCGAUGAUGAGGCUGUGGUGGAGAGGCAGCAGGGCGAAGCAGAGCUGCUUGCCACGUCUCAAGUGCCGGCUGUGCUAUCAUUCUCGUCGGUCAGCAGCGAGAACACGUUGCACCACGGUAGCACAAGUGCGUCGGACAUCGACAUGGACGUAAUGGCGGGCCGCAAGCAACUCCCCCCGCAGUACCACUUUCUCCGCGCAGUCAGUCCUGCACCGUCGUCAUCUGCCAUCUCGGCAACCUCACCGAGAGGCAUCCGCAAUGAACCAACGAAGUGGUCGAGAGAAAAGCCUGCGAGGCCCAAGUAUGCGGGCACUGACAGGAGUGCGGAGUCAUCCGCGGGGCGCGAAGCAGUGCCGAAUGAAAUCCCAGUGCGGUGCGGGCCGGGCGGAUGCGUGUACAGAGCCGUGAGUGCAACGCUCGACAGCUUUACCGCCGCCGGAAACGGUGAUUCGGCACCUCUUCAGUUUCUUCUUCUCCUGCAGCUGCCUCUACCUCUUGUGGAGGCAUUCUGGGUGACACUACCGUCAUCCUCUGCAUCGGGGUGCUCACAGAACGGCGGCGACGCGGCGUUUCGGCGCCGCGCAGGUGAGCGAUCUAUGUCCGCCGUCGAGCUGCGGCGUGUUCCAUGGCUUCCACGUGACGCUUGCAGUCUUAGGGUUGUCGAGGUUGCGGCUGGCGCACCGAUAAGUGCCUCCAGCGCAUCGGAGGCGCGAACGACUCUGCGUGGAUUUGUCCUUGAGGCGUCAGAGGUACCCUCGGCGCGGCGUGCGAUGUCUACCGGGCUCCCACGUGUCUUGCGUGCGCUUUCUGCCUAUGACGUGUUUAGCGCUAGGAGGGCGACUGUGCGUAGCGCCUGGCUUGCGCGCGAUAGACGGGGUGACUGCGGCCCGUUUAGCGCUUCGUCCGACGCAGGGGAACGCGAGCGGGCUGCUGAAGCGGCAGCAGCCCCGGAGCAUCGCAAUGGCACCCGCGCCGUACACACCAAAAGCUUUUCCACACCCUUUCCCUACGAGAGCAAAGAGACGAGCAGCAGCAUCACUCACAUCAUCAGCUCGCCGCCGCGUCAUUACAUCCCGGCAGCUAGUUUCUUCGACGAAAACUUCGAGCCGCUCAUGCUGCUUGGCCGCGGCGUCGGUGGGGCGGUGCUGCUCGCGCGACAUCGCUUCACCGGUGUCUUCUACGCCAUCAAGGUGCUGGUCGCCCGCGACUACGAUAGUGAGCGCGAUAUUCUGCAGGAGGUGCGGAUUCAUGCGAUGUUGGAGAAUCGUCACCUGGUGCGCUACCACACCUGCUGGUCCGAGGUCAUUUCCGCCACUCGUGCGCAGCAGCUAGCGUUCAUCGGUGUGUGCCACCCGUACGAGGCAAAUUUGGGGCGCUGCAAGCGACUCAACUCUGCAUCCUCUUCCAUGCCCAUGACGACUCGGCAGAGCGCACGCGACGGCGCCUCGCAUUCUCCCACCAACUCAGACGGAGACAUGCUCAACAGGUCGCAGUCACGCGGUGCACCAGGUGGGUGGCGUCACCUAAUACUCCCAAGCCUUUCGAGCAUGAUGCUUGUGGGAAGCGAUUCAACAAGUGGGGCGGUAACGCCGGAAAAGACGCCGAUGCGAUCGCAUCCGCAACUCCGCGGCGACGGCCGGAGACGGCUCAUCGUGGACGGAUUCGCUGACGAUUUGACGGACGAUGACGGGGACGCGAUGCCUGUGGGCCAGGCGGAGAAGCGGCAGGGCGCGGCAGAUGAUUGUUUGAGGCACUCGGGCAAAGGCAUCUCCCCGCCUACAAAGAUAGGGUCGCAACCAUCACGGCGCCCUCUCACCUUUUCGUCGACGGCUUCUCCGUCUGCGUGGGGCACGCGUGCUUCUCUCACUGCGCAUCGGCUACGCAAGCAGCUGCCAAUCACCUCUGUCCUCAGCCCCGGCACUUCCUCUGCCGCCUCGAACAGCGUGAGUGGCACCACUGUUCAGGGCGUCGCCGGCAGCGAGGGAGAAGAUCUUGAGUCCAUUUGGGAUGACGCUCAAGGGUCUGACAGCGACCGUAGCGAGGGUAGCGGCGAUAGCUACGGCAGCAGCCAGCGGCCUGAGGAGAACACCAUCAUUGGCACACGCGUGGUAUUCCUGCAGAUGGAGCUGUGCCAGGGGACUCUGGCUCAGUACCUCGCUUCUCGCACUUCCAUUGAUCGCGUGGAAAACUUGAUCAUCGCCAUGCAGGUUGUGGCGGGGCUGCGGUACCUGCACCAUCGCGGCAUCCUGCACCGGGAUGUGAAGCCGACGAAUGUCUUCAUGAAUUACCGGUGCCAGUACCACAAGGAAGUCCAUCAGACGAAUUUGUCGAGCACGAGCGGUGCGGAUGACGGCUCUGAGGAUGAGGAUGACACGAGGAGUUUCUGGGGGUUUCCAGGGUCCGCGACCUCGCACUCUGGCGCUUCGGCAGCGUGGCACGGUGAUCGUGGCAAUGAGGCCUGUGCACCUUCCCCGUCUUCAACUCUUACCUUGUGUCGGCGUCACCCGAGCUCCUGCCCGCCGACGCUUGCGUCCAGUGGCUGCGGCCCGAGCGUGUCUUGUGCACCGCGGCGAUCUUCAAUGGUCCCCCCUGGCAUGCAGGAACUGUUCCGUGCUGCUUCCUCUCUCACGUCCGGUUGGAAGGCGGAGACGACCAUGACUUCGCUGGAUAACUUGCCUUCAUGGGAUGGCGAGCGGGCAGCGCUCGAUUUUGUCAUGCACCCGCCACACCGCACGGCUACUGAGAUGCUGCAGGAGCGACUGCUUCGGCGGCCACCACCCCCAGCGGCUCGUCAGCGCGCCAGCUCGAAGUGCAAGUUGAUGAAGGAGGAAAUGACCGCCGCGGAUGCGACUAUGCCGCUUGUGCAGUCUGAUGGUGGUCGACACUUUCUUCGCCGUCUAGCGAGUUGGCUGCUUCGCCGCUUCGUGCAGGUACAGCUGGGCGAUUUGGGGCUCGCUAAGUUCUUGUACCAGCAGGAGCUGCGCGUGGACGGUUUUGUUUCCAUGAACGCGAUCAACACGAUCGGCGUCGGCUCCCCGCUCUACGCGAGCCCAGAGCAGCUCAAGGGCAACCGGUGCACGCCUGCCUCAGACGCCUUUUCGGUCGGCGUUGUGCUAGCGGAGAUGUACCUUCAGCCCAAGACCACCGCGGAACGCUUGACGGUGCUGCGUGAGGUGCGCGAGGGGGUCUACCGCGACAAGGUGCUGCUUGCCCAGUUCCCUGAGCUGAAGCUGGUGCGGCGCUUAACUGAGGCACAGCCAGAGUGCCGCAUGACACUCGCGGCGGUCCACAAAGCCCUCAGAUCCUUUCUCGAACAAGCACUACAAGACGAGUUGUACCGCCACUACGAGCAGCACAGUUGACGGCCCUUCUGUGCAGCCGUGCAAAGAGACACUGCGCGUAGACGGCAAGACGGAGGCGCGUAGCGGUGGAUGUGGUAAGUCAAGUGGGAGGGAGAAUGGCGGUGGUGUUGUUCUUGCGUUUGUAUAAGAGCCGCAAGUACGCGCUGCAGUUCCGGAGGUGCGCGCGCGUGUGGGUGUGCACGCAGCCGCGCGCUUCUCUCCGUACCCUUCUUUCUUUCUCACUUUCCCGUUGCAGGGCCCCGUGCGCGUUUCCGCAGUGCGUGCGCCACUGCGGACUGCUGCUGAUAGACAUCGAAGCUAAAGGGCGUGACGCAUGCGCCACAUAACAGAAGAACAAAAAGAGGAACCGUGGCCACGGUGACCGCAGAGGCGUACUUCGUGCAUGCUGAAGAGAGAAGAUUAUGGCAAGGGGCCACUUCGGCUUUCCUCACCACGCCAUUUCCUGCAAGGAGGAAGCAGAACGAAAAAGGCCUCUGCCGCGUGUCUCUCUCUCAAUGACCACCGCAUGACCCCACCACCACACACUCCCUUCCCAUCUCCCCGCUGCUGCUUUCACGUUGUGGUCUGUGUAACCGGUGCACCUCUCUGAGAAAGGUCGGCGCACGCGCGUGCGCGGCGUUUCUCAGCACAUUCGUUUCCUUCCUUGGACCUGGUCUCCUUCCCGUUUUGCACGGGCCCUCGCCCCAUGCUGCGUAUCCGUCAUCCUCGCCUGGGCCGCCAACGUCAACCUUCCUCCCUCUCUUUCUUCCCGCCCCUGGCCCUCUCCUCCUCGUUCAG